GGCCGGGGAGAGCGAGCGGGGCCGUGCCCGGCGGCGCGGAGCGGCGCGGCGGAGGCGACGGGAAUCCGGCCGGCCCCGAAGACGGGGAGCCGGCGCGGCGGGGCCGGACGACGGGCCCCGGCGGGGAGGAGGGCACCGAGACCCCCCAGACCCGCCGCGACGCCGCCGAGAACCGCCCCCGCGCCCGCCGACACCCACGUCGUCGGGGCCGCGGCCGGGGACCGCUCCCCGCCGCCCGCCGGCCCCACGACACGCGCACACCAACGACACGCCCUUCUUUCUCUCUCUCUCUCUCUCUCUCUCUCUCUCUCUCUCUCUCUCUCUCUC
Molecule: long non-coding RNA, 327 nt
Filed under: Homo sapiens (human)
Lineage: Eukaryota; Metazoa; Chordata; Mammalia; Primates; Hominidae
Description: LNC_000023
Source: RNAcentral